CCUACGGGUGGCAGCAGUGGGGAAUAUUGGACAAUGGGGGGAACCCUGAUCCAGCGACGCCGCGUGAGUGAAGAAGGAUUUCGGGAUGUAAAGCUCUAUCAGCAGGGAAGAAAGAAAUGACGGUAGCGGACUAAGAAGCGGCGGCUAACGACGGGCCAGCAGCGGCGGUAAGACGGAGGGGGCAAGCGUUAUCCGGAUUUACUGGGUGUAAAGGGAGCGUAGACGGCGAUGCAAGUCUGAAGUGAAAGGCGGGGGCCCAACCCCUGGACUGCUUUUCAAACUGUAUGGCUGGAGUGCAGGAGAGGUAAGUGGCAUUCCUAGUGUAGCGGUGACAUGCGUAGAUAUUAGGAGGAACACCAGUGGCGAAGGCGACUUACUGGACUGUACCUGACGUUGCGGCUCGAAAGCGUGGUGAGCAAACAGGAUUAGAUACCCGAGUAGUC
RNAcentral lists this ribosomal RNA (443 nucleotides) under uncultured bacterium. RNAcentral describes it as "partial 16S ribosomal RNA". It matches the Rfam family "Bacterial small subunit ribosomal RNA", at positions 338 to 795 of the family's 1533-position model. The record is from RNAcentral.